Molecule: unclassified non-coding RNA, 318 nt
Filed under: plant metagenome
Description: partial contains 5.8S ribosomal RNA, internal transcribed spacer 2, and large subunit ribosomal RNA
Rfam family: 5.8S ribosomal RNA (bases 1-105)
Source: RNAcentral
GAAAUGCGAUAAGUAAUGUGAAUUGCAGAAUUCAGUGAAUCAUCGAAUCUUUGAACGCACAUUGCGCCCGCCAGAAUUCUGGCGGGCAUGCCUGUUCGAGCGUCAUUUCAACCCUCGAGCUCCCCUUUCGGGGGGAGCCCGGCGUUGGGGACCCGGCGCUAACGACGCCGGCCCCGAAAUGGAGUGGCGGCCCGUCCGCGGCGACCUCUGCGUAGUAACAACCACUCGCACCGGGACCCGGGCGCGGCCACGCCGUAAAACACCCCACCUUCCGAAUGUUGACCUCGAAUCAGGUAGGAAUACCCGCUGAACUUAAGC